UUUCGCAAUGCCCGAAAGGGUGACGAAGCGACGCCGCGUGUGGGAAGAAGGCCUUCGGGUUGUAAACCACUGUCGGGAGUUAGGAAAUGUAAGGGUGCUAAUAGUACCCUUGCUUGACUAAGGCUCCGGAGGAAGCCACGGCUAACUCUGUGCCAGCAGCCGCGGUAAUACAGAGGCGGCAAGCGUUGUUCGGAAUUAUUGGGCGUAAAGAGCACGUAGGCGGCCUUGUAAGUCAGUUGUGAAAGCCUUCUGCUUAACGGAAGAACAGCAGCUGAUACUGCAAGGCUAGAGUGCGGAAGGGGAGAGUGGAACUUCUGGUGGAGCGGUGAAAUGCGUAGAUAUCAGAAGGAACACCGGCGGCGAAGGCGACUCUCUGGUCCGUAACUGACGCUGAGUGUGCGAAAGCUAGGGGAGCAAACGGGAUUAGAUACCCCGGUAGUCCUAGCCGUAAACGAUGGGCACUAAGUAGAGGGGUUUUA
RNAcentral lists this ribosomal RNA (479 nucleotides) under uncultured Planctomycetota bacterium. RNAcentral's name for it is "bacterial SSU rRNA". It matches the Rfam family "Bacterial small subunit ribosomal RNA", at positions 364 to 833 of the family's 1533-position model. Lineage: Bacteria; Pseudomonadati; Planctomycetota. The record is from RNAcentral.